CGCCAUUUGUGUAGUACGAGUUUUGAUAAUUUAUGAAAAAGAAUUUGAUCCCAAAAAUAGUUAAGAAUGAUAAAAUGCACCAUCUGUGAGAACACAUACUGAAUAACACGUCAUAAUGUUUAUCAAGCAGGUGAUCAUCCAGGGAUUCAGAAGUUACAGAGAUCAGACUGUGGUGGAUCCAUUUAGUCCUAAACACAAUGUCAUUGUUGGAAGAAAUGGAUCUGGGAAAAGUAACUUCUUUUAUGCCAUCCAGUUUGUAUUGUCCGAUGAGUUCAGUCACAUGCGACCUGAACAGAGACAAGCUCUGCUUCACGAGGGAACUGGACCAAGGGUGAUUACGGCCUUUGUGGAAAUAAUCUUUGAUAACUCGGACAACAGAAUUCCGAUCGAAAAAGACGAGGUUGUCCUUCGAAGAGUUAUUGGUUCCAAAAAAGAUCAGUAUUUUCUUGACAAGAAAAUGGUGACGAAAACGGAUGUGAUGAAUCUUUUGGAAAGUGCUGGAUUUUCUAGAAGUAAUCCUUACUACAUUGUUAAACAAGGAAAAAUCAAUCAAAUGGCUACUGCUCCAGACUCGCAGCGUCUAAAACUUCUAAGAGAAGUGGCUGGAACUAAAGUGUAUGACGAGCGGAAAGAAGAGAGUCGAGUUAUUCUGGUGGAAACAGAGGGAAAACGAGAGAAAAUCAAUGAUCUGUUGAAGUACAUUGAAGAACGUCUCGACACUUUGGAGAGUGAGAAAGAGGAACUUAAAGAAUAUCAGAAAUGGGACAAAAUGAGAAGAUCUCUAGAAUACACGAUCCAUGACCAUGAGUUGCGAGACACCAGGAAGAAACUGGAUGAUCUAACCAACAAACGAGAGAACAGUGGAGCUCAAGCACAGAAGCUGCGAGACUGCCAGCAAGAAGCAAAUGACAAAGUUAAGAGCACAAACAAAGAUUUAAAGGAGUUAAAAACUCGGUUACAUGCGAUACUGGAAGAAAAAGACCAGCUGGGUGCUGAAAGCCAGGAGCUGACGAAGAAGAAAGCUAAACUGGAACUGAACAUAAAGGACAUACAGGACGAAAUGGAAGGAAACAAUACUGCUAAGAAAAAGGCUGAAAUUGAACUGCAGAAGGUGAAUGACAAAGUGAUGAAAACCCAGGAGCAGUUGGAGUCUAUAAUACCUCUGUACGAGGGGCAGCGGGACAAGGAGGAAAAUGCAUCACAGCAGCUUGCUUUAGCCGAACAGAGGAGAAAGGAGCUCUAUGCUAAACAAGGUCGGGGGAAUCAGUUUACCUCUCGAGAUGAUCGAGAUAAUUGGAUUAAGAAGGAACUGAAGUCGUUAAACAAAGCCAUUAAAGACAAAGAAGAGCAGAUAAAGCGACUGAAGGAAGACUCGGGUCAUGACGAACAGAAGGAAGGCCAGCUGACAGAAAAAAUAGAGGAAACCACAGCAAAAAUUGACAUGAACAAAGAUAUUAUUGAGCAAAACAACAAGACAUUUCAAGAAAUGAAAAAACAGAAAGACGCCCUUCAGAAUGAAAGAAGUGCGUUGUGGAGACAAGAAAACACCCUGCAGCAGACUCUGGCCUCCACACGAGAAGAGCUGGCCAAGAAAGAACAGGGACUUCGGUCACUCACGGGAAAGGCGUUGCUGAAUGGCAUUGACAGUGUACAGAAAGUUCUACAGUCAUUCAGGGAUCAGGGCAAAUACAUGGAUGUAGUUAAUGGUUACCAUGGUAUCCUUAUUGAAAACAUGGAAGUGGAGAAAACAUUUUUUACCUGCGUGGAAGUCACAGCUGGAAGCAGAUUGUUUCAUCACGUCGUUGACACCGACAAGACAGGAACAAAAAUUCUUCAGGAAAUGAAUAAAAUGCGACUGCCAGGGGAGGUAACCUUCAUGCCACUUAACCGACUGGAUACUCGGGAGACUCGCUAUCCAGAUUCAAGUGAUGCCAUUCCCAUGAUAAGCAAGAUCACGUUUGAGAAUUCGUUCGACCCUGCUAUAAAGCACGUGUUCGGAAAGACUUUGAUCUGUCGUAGCAUGGAAGUUGCAACUCAGUAUGCCAAGACGCAGAACCUCGAUUGUAUCACACUGGAUGGUGACCAGGUGAGUCGCCGUGGUGCCCUGACUGGCGGAUACUACGACACACGGCGGUCCCGUCUUGACAUGCAGAAGAGUAAACUGGAGCUGAUUGCCCAGCUGAAGCAGCAGGAAGCUGAGUACGCGGAGCACCGACAGAAACUGGAGGUCAUUGAAAGCCAAAUUAAUAACCUCGUGUCCGAGAUGCAGAAGAUGGAGACGAAGAACAGCAAAAAUAAAGACAUCUUUGACAAAAUGCAAGCUGAUGUUAGAUUAGCUAAGGAAGAACUAAAAGGCUUGCAAAAGAACAGACCUUCAAAGGGUAAGAGUGUGACCAGUCUACAGAGCAGUCUGGAGGCGAUGCAGGCCACGGCUCACUCGCUGAAGGAGGAGCUGGGUUCUGAUCUGUUGUCUCAGUUGUGUAUCGAGGACCAGCGGGAGGUGGAUCACCUCAAUGACACGAUCAAACAGCUCACCCUUCAGAACAGGGAGGCCUGGCAGGAGAGAAUCAGGCUGGAAGGAGAGAAAAAUAAACUUGAAAAUUUAUUGAACAAUAACUUGAUGAAGAAGCGAGACCGAAUUCAACAAGAUCUACAGGAGGUGUCCAUCGAAGAGAGAAACCAGAGACUGGAGAACUUGACAACUGAUCUUCAGACGGUCAACCAGCGAGUCCACGAGCUGAAGAUUCAAACAAAAGAACUUGAUGAACAAUUGGAUCGCUUGAAUAAAGAUCAGAAAGAAUUGCAAAAUCAGCUUGAAUACUGGAAGGGUCAAGAGAAAGAAAUUCAGGAUAAAAUAGGAGAUGAUGCGAAAGAACUGGAAAAAAUGUCAAAUAAGCAAAGUCUUUUACUCAAAAAGAAAGAAGAAUGUAUGCGUAAGAUACGUGAACUUGGAUCACUACCAAGUGAUGCUUUUGAGAAAUACCAGGACAUGGGCAGCAAGCAGUUAUUUAAGAAGUUAGAGCAGUGUAAUCAGGAAUUAAAGAAAUAUAGUCAUGUUAAUAAGAAGGCACUUGACCAGUUUGUCAACUUCACAGACCAGAAGGAGAAACUGAUCAAACGAAAAGAGGAAAUUGACAGAGCAUACGAUUCAAUUAUAGAUUUAAUGAAUGCACUGGAUCAUAGAAAAUAUGAAGCAAUACAGCUGACAUUUAAACAGGUGUCAAAGUAUUUUACUGAAAUAUUUAAGAAGUUGGUCCCUGCUGGACAUGGGGUGCUUGUCAUGAAGAAAGGAGAAAGUGAACAGGAGGGUGUCGACUCACAGACCCCGGCACAAGAGAUUCCCCUGGUAGAGCAGUUCACUGGUGUUGGAAUAAAGGUUUCCUUCAGUGGAAAUCGUGCCGAGAUGCGUGACAUGCAGCAGUUGUCUGGUGGACAGAAGUCACUGGUGGCCUUGACCUUGAUAUUUGCCAUUCAGAAAUGUGACCCCGCUCCUUUCUACCUGUUUGAUGAGAUUGACCAGGCUUUAGAUUCGUCUCACAGAAAAGCAGUUGCAGACAUGAUUCACGAAUUGUGUCAGGACGCACAGUUCAUCACGACAACCUUCCGUCCUGAGCUGCUGCAGCAUGCCGACAAGUUUUAUGGUGUUAAGUUUAGAAAUAAGGUCAGUCAUAUAGAAUGUGUGAGUCGCGAGGAAGCUGAAGAUUUCGUUGAGGAUGACACGACUCAUGGCUGAAAUUACUGUAUCAGUGCACAGGACAGUGGACAUUACAAUAUACAUAAAUGGUUGACAGUACUAUUUAAAUAUACAGAGAAUGGUUGGCAUCAUUAUAUAAAUAUAUGGCGAAUGGUUGACGUUACUACUGCAGAAACAUUUGCAAUGGACUUAUUUACAUCACAGCAUAAAUGCUUUUGCAGUAGAUAUUGGAUAAUAUAUUGCAAAACACUUUUGCAAUGAGUAUCUGUUAAGUUGCAGCAUAAAGUCGUUAUCAAAUACUUGAUUUUGUGGUAGAACCAUGUGUGCGUGACAACCAACAUGUCAUUUUCAUGCAUGCACACACAACACCAGGGCUCGAAACGGUCUGUGGCCAGGUCGCCAAAUGCGACCAGUGUCCUGUUUGGGCGACUUGAAUAUUAAAAAAUAAUGGCAUUUAGUCGCCCAAAUAAUACUAUUAUUUGAGUGAUCUACUUUAGAUCUAUAGCAUAUGAGCCACUAUUAAUAUUUGUAUUGCAUCUAUUUAUUCCACAUUAAAAUCUUGUUUGUGGUUCGCUUAUCGUAAUUUGCCAACAUCCAUUAUUUUUUUUUGCCACCGUAUGUUUUGGCAAGUUUCGAGCCCUAAACACACACACACACACAAUAUACAAAUGGUUUAAAAUGUGGAAUUUUAUUAUAGUGAACUUGUUUGUUAUAUCUUCUUGGUGUUUAACAUUGUGUAUCUUAAUACACAGUAAGACUUGCCUAACAGAAACUUUAAAACAAGCAGUGGUAUGCACGUCAUGUAUGAAGACACUUUAUAGAAAGGUGGGUGUUGAAUAAAAUAUUCUAUAUAGCAGCCCCAGCUUCAGCCAGCUGACGUUUGCAAACUAUUUGAUUGGUUGCCAUCAUAGCCAUUUGGUUUACUGUGAAGUGCAUAAACCAGUCUAGUGGAUGUUUUUCUGAUGUCAUAUCCAUUUGGUUUACUGUGAAGUGCAUAAACCAGUUUAGUGGAAGUUUUUCUGAUGUCAUAUCCAUUUGGUUUACUGUGAAGUGCAUAAACCAGUCUAGUGGACGUUUUUCUGAUGUCAUAUCCAUUUGGUUUACUGUGAAGUGCAUAAACCAGUCUAGCAGAUGUUUUUCUGAUGUCAUAUCCAUUUGGUUUACUGUGAGGUGCAUAAACCAGUCUAGUGGAUGUUUUUUCUGAUCAGUCUGGCUGAACUCGGCCCUGGUUCCACUGUGUGUGAUAAAAUGUUGGAUGACCAGGGGAAAAAAAGGACAAAAAUCAAUUUAUUCUGUAACUGUCAGAAGCUGAUGACAGUGAUAUGUUUACUACAACUACAGCCAAGUAUUUCUCUCUCAACAAUACGUGCCCAGAGUGUUUCGAACAUUACUUGCCACUUUUCAAGUUAACUUUUCAAAUAUUAUGGCCAACAUCAAUGUUACGGUUUACGUAACAUAAACUUAUCCUACCUUUUGCCUGUCCUUUAAUAUUAUUACUAAAACUAUAUGAAAUAAUAAUUAGAUACAAUAUUAAUUAAUAUUAUAGCAGUUAUAAAGGAGUGUAACAUUGGAGAACCUUUUGUUUAGCAACCCCAUUUGAUAACAACCUCAUUUGAAUGCAAUAUACUUAGGGGUAUUUGUCAUAAUGAAUGCAAACCAGUUGUUAGUGAAUUAUGUAUUAUUCUUCUGUGGGGUAACCUGCAUAACCCUGUUAAUAUGUUAACAUAUGCUAUAAAUAGAGACUAUUAUACAAGCUUGUGUCGUACUGAUUUACAAAACGAGUAUCACGAUUAUUGUAUUACCCGAGCGAGUGUAAUAAUUCUUUAUUAUUCACAUUAUUCAAAAUAUUAUUUUCACGAAUAACAAGCUUAGGACCAUGUCAAAAUGUUUCAAACGAAACUAAAAAGAGACGGAAAAAUUACGUUAUUUUGAUUAGCGUUUACACUAGGGAAGCUGCAUUAAGUUAUGACAUCGGUUCACAAAAUAAUGUCAUUAGUUGUGCUCGUGAAAUCAUUAUGACACACGUGGGUCAUACUGGUUACAUUUUCCUGAAUAUAUGUGGAUAAUAAAAUGUUUCUGAUGGAUAACACCAAUAUGUUACUUGGUGCUGACAGAGCUAACAGAUUAAAUGUUGUUUAACUAUUGUGGGUGUAUUUAUAUUGAUGUAAUACUAAUACUAUAGCGGGAUUAAAAUUUUACCACAGCACUGAUGGCAAGUGCCAUUAUUACCUUUCUUACUUUGCCAAAAAUUGGACAUUGCCGAUGGCAAGAAAAAUGCUGUGGUGCCCUAGCAUGAAAUCAUUUUUGUUCGAGAACACUUGAAAGGAAAGUUGCUUUCAUUCCCCUAUUUUUGCAGGUAAUAUGUUUGCCUUGGUGCCCUAAUAUUUGUAAUUAAAUGGAUGGCUACAGUUGCUGUGUCCCCCAAAAGUUAAAAUGCAAACCCUGGUUGUAGUACAUUUUAAUAGAAAACUGAUGUGGACAAAUUCAGAUCAUGCCAUUUUAUAAGGGGAAUUUGGUAGUGAAUGAAAAAAUCAGUAUCUUGAACACAUAAUCUGCAAAAAAAAUUAAUGUUUUUGAAUUUUUCCAACUCUUAUCUUUUAUUGAUGUUUGAACUAAAGUAACAAAAAAGGUAUGCUUUUUUUUAAUGUUUCUUUUUUGUUUCACUACCUAAAAUAGUGUUACUUAAAUAUUGCGGUCUUAUAUAAUGUGUAAUAAGGUGAUAUAAGUGAAUUAAAAUCAUUCAUUUUUAACAAAUUUGCGUCCUGUGUCUGAGAAAAGAUUAUGGUACAUACACACGGGAAAGUAAUAUUAAAAUAAUUUUCAUGAAAGAGGUAACAUUUUUGCUCACACAUGCAAAUAAGUAUUUACAUCAAGUAUUUGCUUUAUGUAUUAAAUUUUCUUCAACUUGGUGCUACAUCAUUACAAUGGCAAAACCUGUUUCACAAUUCUACCAUGAAAUGAAUAUUUUAUUGUGCAUUUUAACACUUUAAUCAUUCUAAUUUUAGAUUAAUUCUUGUUAAAAAUAAAGCGUGUAGAAUAGAAGUUUUGACAAUGGAAUUUAAUGUUUGUGUUCUUUUGUUAAAUCCCAUUGAGGAAAACGUCUUGAACAAAGUCAUGAUCAGAAAUGGUGAUAAAUGUGAUUGGGGCUGUCAUUUUCUAGACAAACAUUCACUCGUAAAUCAAAUUGUGUAUUUUAAUGCAAUCAUUGUUAGGCGACACAAAAUGUCCGAAUACUGUAGGACAAAUCAUGAAUAAUUAAUACACAAAAAUAAGGUUUUACAGUAUUCUGAGUGCUGUAUCACAGGCUGCCAGAUUUCACGAUAACAAUCUUAUUUGUGGUAGUAUGUUGACAAAAUCACGAAACUGAAAGUCCAUUAUCAUAUAACAAUUACCAUGAAAAAUGGUUUCCAAUUUCGUUAAAUGAUCAUAGGGCAUGAAUUGAAAAAGUAUUCACUAUAAAAUUUUAAAUUCUGAGUGUGUGUGUUUCAUGAAGAAAUCUGAUGACAUUCUGUCUCAGUUUCUAGUGCUUUAAUCAUCAGAAAAAAACCAACGUUUUGCAUAAGUUUUAAUAGCUGUACAUCUUAUCCACAAAACAUCAUCUUGCAUACAAGUAAACAUCAAUGUUGUAUUAGUGUUGUACAUUUCUUCAAGUACAUCUAUUGUACUUUUAUUGUAAAUUUUAAAUUAAUUCCAUGUUUAAAUUUAGCUGUUCAUAUGUUGUUAUAAAACAUUUUAACACCAUGAAUUUUAUCCAGAUACUAUGUAUUUUUCUUCAUGCUGGGGUGUCGUUAAACAUUCAUUCAUCCAUUCUAUCCAGAUACUGGUAUCAUUUGUUUCUAUUGUUUUCAUGUACUUAUCUUAGUUUGCCAUCCAAUAGUUGAUGUGUUUUUCAUUAAACAUUCAUACAUUCAUUCUGUCUAGAUAAAGUCUUUUAGUCCAUUGAUGUUACGGCAUACAUUGUAAAUAUAAUAAAGAUUUUUGUUACUUAGAGAAUAACUAACGAGCUACGAGGAAUUACGGAUUAUAUGUCCCGAGUGAAUUAAUGUUGUAAUGUUACAGCAUUAAUUCACGAGG
RNAcentral lists this unclassified non-coding RNA (7768 nucleotides) under Gigantopelta aegis. RNAcentral describes it as "structural maintenance of chromosomes protein 3-like, transcript variant X1". The record is from RNAcentral. Lineage: Eukaryota; Metazoa; Mollusca; Gastropoda; Neomphalida; Peltospiridae.